This 2455-nucleotide long non-coding RNA is filed under the name Homo sapiens (human). RNAcentral's name for it is "HSALNT0393562". The record is from RNAcentral. Lineage: Eukaryota; Metazoa; Chordata; Mammalia; Primates; Hominidae.
CGCAUCCCCUGCCCCAGUGAAGCGAAUCUCAGAAGUAUGAAAAACCCCAGGUGGGAUGACAACGACAUCAUACUCUCUAGAGGAAAAGAAUGUAAAGAGACAAAAACGAUGGUUGCAAUGGGGCAGGGAGGGCACCCUGGAGGAGACACUAAAAAUAUUCCCAAAGACGGUAAACUCAGAAAAGUCACAUAUUGAAGAAGUUAGGAGAGUCACUUCUGAACUCACCGGCAGCCCAGGGCUGUAGCCGGGAUGGCAAAGGGGGCAAAAUGCGAUCAUAGGUGCUGUCGUUUGUGGUCAGGGUUAGGGGAGAAGGAGGAGGACAAAACAGUAGGCUAAGGAAGCUAGGUGGGCAGGAAACGUCCUUUUCAGCCCCGCAGGAGACACCAGAAGAGGUGGGACCCAGAAAAGGCCAGCCCCGCUGCUCACCCCCUUCACCUCUCACUUCUGCCAUUUCCGGAGUUCUCUCCCUGCUUGGCCUGUCAUGCACCUGUUUACCUCUCCAGAGGUAGUUGCUCUUUCAGCUUCAAAUAUUCAUCAACCAGAGAAAUUUAAAACAGUGCAAAACACCAACACAAAACAUAAACAUGCUCUUUAAGAAUGUUUUUAGCUUUUUUUUUUUUUUAAAUCCACAAAAAUCUGAUCUUCUUCCAAGGCAGAUGGACCAGCCUCACUUGGCUGUGAACCGUGAAGUUUGCUGGCAGCAUAUACAUAUCUCUGGCCUUAUGAGGGCUCACCCUAGCGUCACCCAUAGCACCCUGCUUUUAUUGUCAGUGUUCCCUUAUAUGUUCACAGUCACUGGAAAUGAUCAACACAAUUAGAUUUGCUUCUUUUGCCCCAGAACAAAGCGGGUUUGUUGAUGUACUGAAUCGGACACAUUACUUUCUAGCUGAACACUCAGCUUCAUCCACUCCAGGACAGCUGAGCGUCUGGAUGGUGUCUCACCCUGUUGCCCAGGCUGGAAUACAGUGGCACGAUCCUGGCUCACUGCAAUCUCCAUCUCCCGGGUUCAAGCGAUUCUCCUGCCUCAGCCUCUCAAGUAGCUGGGAUUACAGGGCUUCAGAAGCUGAUGGCAUAGUUAUGAGAGGGGUGAAGACUGCGACUGCAUUUCCAACAGACCCUGAGGACAAUUGGGAAGAAUGAGGAGCAGUGUCAACAGUCCUAGCCAGCUGUUGCUGAAGGGCCCAACACCAAAUCCCAGCUGAAGAACAGCUUCUCAUCUUUUGAGACACAGCACAGGGUGAUGGGCAUGGAGCUCUUCCACACUCCCCACAGUCUGACUUAGCUCUCUCCGUUGUGCCCUCCUGGCACCCUGCUCGUAUUUUAUUGUGGCACCUAUAUCGCUGGAUCUCACUCACUGGUUUGCACUCCUGUAUCCCCUUUGAGGGAACAAAUCCCAUGCCUCUGCAAUCCCAGGAUCUGAUACUGAGAUAGACACUAAACAGAUAUUUAAAAAUUUUUGAUAAUCAAUGAAUGGACAAGGAGAAUAAAUAAUAUGAAAGAUGAAAUAAAGAAAUAAAAGUAUUAAUGAGAGUAUAAACAUAUCCAGAUUGGGCUGGGUGCGAUGGCUCAUGCCUAUAAUCCCAGCACUUUGGGAGGCUGAGGUGGGAGGAUCACUUGAGGUCAAGAGUUCGAGAGCAGCCUGGCCAACAUGGCGAAACCCUGUCUCUGCUAGAGAUACAAAAAUUAGCUGGGUGUGGUGGUGUGUGCUUGUAAUCCCAGCUACUUGGGAGGCUGAGGCAGGAGAAUCACUUGAACCUGGGAGGCGGAAGCUGCAGUGAGCUGAAAUUGCACCAGCCUGGGUGACACAGUGAGACUCUGUCUCAAAACAAAACAAAACAACAACAACAAAAAAAAAAAAAAAAGAAAGAAAGAAAAAAAGAAAUCCAGAUAGACUAUUAUGUCUUACUGUUCUUUUUCAUUCAUACCAAAUGGGAAAGAAUUUCCUGUCAAUGCUGGCAGUCUCUGGCUAUCAUGUGGCAGCAUCCGGGAAGGACCUUUGAGGCCACGCUCUUUCCCUCAGGGGACAGUGAGGUGCGUUGUCCAUGGCACCGAUGGGUUUUUCUCUGGGUAGCAGGAGGUUCCACAAUUCCCCAGCCCCAUUUCCUUUUAAGUCAUUCUGGUUAUCAUUUCAGUUGAAAGAAUUGGAGCUACUUUUCACUUGGGAGAACAUAAUAAAAAUCACUUAUUCAGUACUAAAUUAGGAUGGACAGCCUUUCUCUUGGGAAGAAAAGCAAUAACAGAUCACAAUAAUGAGAUUGUGCAACAAGCUUUGAAAAUGCUUAUACUACAUUUAUAUGAAACAGUAUUUGCUUACACUUCAGAUAUGGCUGUCGAUUUAUGGUUCAGAGCCAUGGAGCAGGUAAUAAAUAUGACUGUGACAACUUUCUGAAAUCAUUUUUAUUACUUUUUAAAAAUAAAAAUACUAUUUGCUGUUCAAUUCCUAUUAAACUAUAGC